This 811-nucleotide ribosomal RNA is filed under the name Glyptotermes satsumensis. Its description in RNAcentral is "partial 16S ribosomal RNA". The stretch from base 431 to 601 matches the Rfam family "Bacterial large subunit ribosomal RNA", at positions 1784 to 2014 of the family's 2925-position model. The record is from RNAcentral. Lineage: Eukaryota; Metazoa; Arthropoda; Insecta; Blattodea; Kalotermitidae.
UUCCCGGUUUUGAAGGAGUUAAUAAUUUAUUUUAGUUACUGUUUCAUCAGUAUUAACAAUAUUUUAUUAGUGAUGAAAUGUCACUCGUUUUCAUAGGUAUCUGGUUUCCUAGGAAAUAGAUUGAAUUUACACUUUUUAUGUUUAGUUUUCUCUUUUUUUUGUGAGGUUUUAUGUGAAGUGAGGAUUUUGGGGGAUGAGCUCCAAUUUUUAUUUUUAUAAUUUUCUUUGAUUGUUAUUUGUGUGGGCUUUAUAAUGGCUAUCAAUAUGAGUAUGUUAAAAUUUUACUUUUUUCUUCUUUUAUUUGUUUUUUAUUUAAUUUUUUAUUAGGAUGUUUAGUUUAAUUUUUAUGUCUAUUGUAAUUUUGAUGGAAUUAGUAUAUUUUUGUGAUGAUAAGUUUUAUUUAAUGUUAUAUUUUUGAGAGGAACUAGGCAAAUAAUUAUGCUCGCUUGUUUAACAAAAACAUCUUCUCUUGUGAGAUUUUAUGAGAUACGGCCUGCCCGCUGAUUGUUGUUGAAGGGCCGCGGUAUUUUGACCGUGCAAAGGUAGCAUAAUCAUUAGUUCUUUAAUUGUGAACUGGUAUGAAUGGUUUGACGAAGUGUAGACUGUCUUUCAUUAAUUAUUGUUUGAAUUUGGUGCUUGAGUAAGAAUACUUAAAUUUUUUUAUGGGACGAGAAGACCCUAUAGAGUUUCACAUAGAAUAUUUCCUUUUUGUUUGUGUUUUUUAUUGAUUUUUUCUAUGUUUUGUUGGGGUGAUGAGAGGUAUUGGGAACUCUUCUUUUAUUUUGGUACACUCAUUUGUGUUUUAUUGAUC